CUCUUGCCUUUUUCUCAAAUACUAUUCAAACAUACAUUUUAUGUGGAGAUGCUGACGGACAACAACAUCUGCUCUCUCAGCUCAUGGGCUCUUAUUUGGAUUGUAAUUACUCCAUUGGCUGUGAUCUGUUCUCUGUUUGCCCACUAUCUGUUUCUGUCAGGUCUCAGUCUCCUACAAACCACCCAUUAUGUGGUGGUGAUAAUUAAAUCUCCCUGCUCCAGACCGGGCUGAGCAGCACAGGGAGGGCCUUCCUUGUCCUGACAGCUGCCAGAGCCACAGCCCCUAACGAUGCCCCGAUCACCUGCCUGCUCUGCAGGACAGGACACCUAUUUGUUCCAAACAAGCUCUUUCAGCAGCUGUCAGAUGCUAAUGGCUUUCAGCUGCUGCCAACCUGUGCCCUAUGCAAACCAGGGGCGCAUCAUGGAAAUGUGCGUAAAUAUUCAUGUGAGGCUGACAAAACCAGAAGUGCAAAUGCAGUUAUCGGAGCUCUUGCAUGAAUGUGCCAUAGCCUGCCCUGUUGUUUCGGUUUUAGUGUGAGGGACACAGUGCAAAUGUUCUGAAGUGAUGUUGCCCUUUUAUGUCUGUGAUUAAAAAAUCCGCUGAAGGCAGUGGGGAUGCAGAGGCACAUGGAGAUGCCUUAUGGAAAAGGAUUCCCACCUCGUGACCAGCUGCGGUGAUGAAACCCUCCUGGGACACUCAGGGCAGACCGGGAUGCUUUCAGCAAGAAGCAAUGCUCAUCUGUUGUGCUCACGUUUAUAUUCUGUGAUGCCACCGCUGAUUACACUGAAGAUAUUCUGACUGCUGUCAGUGGAGUGAGAGGUGGACUGCGCCUGAAUGCUUGGAAGGACAGUUAAAUGUGAUCUCAAAUCAAAUUCUUAAGGACUUUAUGAGUUCCUUUUAUUUGGGGGCAUGUAACUAAAGGAGAUGUUCAGCAUGUUCCUUGGUGGGUGCCAGAAAGCUUAUUUUCAGAAGUAUCUGAGGCUCAGGGAAAGUCAACGACGGCUAUAUUUACCCUGAAGUCUGUGCAACUGCUGCCAAAAUCGAGCCAUGUUCUUUUUGUAGGAAUAACCAUGAGAAACAACAGCAUUUGGAGGAAGGACCGGGCACCAUACAUGUGACUUAUCUGACAUAGAAUGACGUAGAUGUCUUAAAUGGGGUCCAAUAGGCCACCUGAGGUUGUGCCUUGAGUGCUGUCAUCAGAAGGGCAGAUGGGAAAGGAGACAUUAACUCUCGGUGCUAUUGGUAGGCAUUGUUUCCACAGAAGCCCCCUCCCCUGUUUGGCCCGUGGCUGUGUCCUGGUGGAGCUGGGCCAGGCGUUGUGCCACUGUCUGCUGACAGGAUCCAAUUUCUUCUUAUGUGGAAAUAUAAAUCUUGGCCCUUCGAUCAUGUGAACCAUAAAAGAGGGAAACGCCUCUUCGUUUUACUUGAAAAAAGAAAAGUCGGAACUAUCCAGAACUGCUCGUUACAAAACAGUGACAGAAGAGCUUCCUUAAAUCAAACAGAGCUCUCAUUUUGCUGUUGGACCGUCCCACAGAGUGCUGCGUUCCCACCGUUUCUGCUCAGGGGAAGUGCUCUGUCAGCUCAGACCGUGAGCAGCUCUCCAGGGAGCACACAGCAGGGCUCAGGGCCUGUUUUGACUUAACAGGCACCGGGAGAGGAUAAUCCUGUUUAUUCGGUCAUCCAAAGCACUGAUGAUCUGAGAUAAUCGGUGGCUGAGAGCAGCGAGGAGGGACGCGUGAGGUGCUCCGUGCCUGGAUGGAUGAGUCAGAUGCUCAGCACUGGGGAACGGACUGAGCUCACCCCUGCAGCCCCAACAGGGCGUGGAGAGCCCCAGCCAACCUCACAAAGAAGACAGAAAGUGGAGAAGCCAACCAG
This 1875-nucleotide long non-coding RNA is filed under the name Gallus gallus (chicken). RNAcentral's name for it is "lncRNA (ENSGALG00010016596.1)". The record is from RNAcentral. Lineage: Eukaryota; Metazoa; Chordata; Aves; Galliformes; Phasianidae.